This is an RNA transcript of Nymphaea colorata (pocket water lily), 1218 nucleotides long. RefSeq lists it as uncharacterized. NCBI's taxonomy places the organism in Eukaryota, Viridiplantae, Streptophyta, Magnoliopsida, Nymphaeales, Nymphaeaceae. The record is from RefSeq and is a predicted model, not a curated record. The transcript is spliced from 2 exons.
UACACUUCUACCCAUGAUGUUGCUUUUCAUAAGGUCGUUCGGCUAGAAGUCGAAUCUCCCCUGUAAGACUGAAACUUGUAACAAAAUCGAGAUCUGUCUGCAAAAUCUUCGUUGGAAAGACGAAAAUUACUACCUUCCCAGGUAUUGACUUGCAGUUAAUAGGAUGUAAGUCGAGGUAUCUGGUCUGAUCCGGGCCCGAUGAGGUCCGGAUUCGUCGACCUGAGGUUGAUUUUCUUCACCUCCAAGAAUGGAUGAGAAAGGCGAAAGCAGUUACCAGGCGACUGUAGAUCGGCGUAAAAGCGCGUCCGUAUUUCAUCAUCCCUGCUGUGGGGUCUGGCGACUCAGAAGCCCACGCAAUACUACAAAGCGGUUUCAAUGGCGCGGCCACGAGCAAACUUCGUGGCUUACCACUGUGAAGAGAGGUAACGAAGGGGCGUCAUGGCAGCAACCAAGGCCUUCUCUGCGGAAUUCAUCGGCAUGCAGAGUCACCUGCUCCUCUAUAAACAGCUAGGGUUGCAGACGCAGCGGCGGCUGCCACCAUCUCUCAAUUCUCUUUCGGUCAGGGCCGCCAGGUGCCCCUUACGGCUCUUCUUCUUCGCAACAAGUUGCAAUUGUGAACUGAAACAAAGGAAUUCAUCGUUGGGGAGAGAGGAAAAAGGAGUAUUGUGAGAAGAUGGGCUAUGUGGGGGUGGGGGUGCUGUCCGUUCCCUUUAUCGUUGUCAUAUUGAUUGUCGGGUUCGUAUGUUACAUAUUGAGGAGGUUGGCAGCAAGGAGAGAGGCCCAGAAUCUGAUGAUGGUGGCUCCCCCUGUCUACGGCGCGGGUGUUCCACCGCCGCCUCCUCCUCCUCCUCAACCGGUAUAUGGAGAACCAGUUUACCCGAAUAAACCGCUGCCUCCUCCUCCUCCUCCUCAACCGGUAUAUGGAGGACCAGUUUACCCGAAUCAACCGCCGCCUCCUCCUCAACCGGUAUAUGGAGAACCAGUUUACCCGAAUAAAGCCUCCGUAUAGCAGCGUAGAUGUAUCACGAUAUAUUCUGGCUUUGAUUACCGGGUACAUGGUGCAUACCUACAUUUUGGGUUCAUUCUUUUCCUUGCUCUUCCCUCAUCUUUUUAGCUUUUAUUUUUCCUUUUUCGUUGCACACAAAAUUAUCUCUUGUACCCUGUUCUUCUUGAUCUCUAUGGUUACAGGUGUGGCGAAAAGGCCUGCUUUUCUUUUUA